AACGCAAAUGGCGCUUCCUGGCAUCCCGGGAAGCAUGCCUGUUUGAGAACCGUAGAUAGCCAAAACUCACCAGGGUGUGUGCGCGAAUCAUCCAGCCCCGGACGAUUUUUGCCCCCCCACUCUGGUGGUGAUGGGUCACUGGCGGGGAGAGGGGGCGCACUCCUUUCGCUGUCCGUGACCUGCAAUCCUUUGUCCCCGGAAGUCGACGGACCCGGAUUCCCAAGUCAGAUUGUUUUCUGGGGAAGAUCCGGCCGUGUCCUUCCCCGGGGUCCCCCAACCCCCCUCAAAAAAACAACUUGGUCUCAAAUCAGGCAAGAGAACCCGCUGAACUUAA
Molecule: unclassified non-coding RNA, 334 nt
Filed under: uncultured fungus
Lineage: Eukaryota; Fungi
Description: partial contains 5.8S ribosomal RNA, internal transcribed spacer 2, and large subunit ribosomal RNA
Source: RNAcentral